AGAGUUUGAUCCUGGCUCAGGACGAACGCUGGCGGCGCGCCUAACACAUGCAAGUCGAACGAGCGAGAGAGAGCUUGCUUUCUCGAGCGAGUGGCGAACGGGUGAGUAACGCGUGAGGAACCUGCCUCAAAGAGGGGGACAACAGUUGGAAACGACUGCUAAUACCGCAUAAGCCCACAGCUCGGCAUCGAGCAGAGGGAAAAGGAGUGAUCCGCUUUGAGAUGGCCUCGCGUCCGAUUAGCUAGUUGGUGAGGUAACGGCCCACCAAGGCGACGAUCGGUAGCCGGACUGAGAGGUUGAACGGCCACAUUGGGACUGAGACACGGCCCAGACUCCUACGGGAGGCAGCAGUGGGGAAUAUUGCACAAUGGGGGAAACCCUGAUGCAGCGACGCCGCGUGGAGGAAGAAGGUCUUCGGAUUGUAAACUCCUGUUGUUGAGGAAGAUAAUGACGGUACUCAACAAGGAAGUGACGGCUAACUACGUGCCAGCAGCCGCGGUAAAACGUAGGUCACAAGCGUUGUCCGGAAUUACUGGGUGUAAAGGGAGCGCAGGCGGGAAAGCAAGUUGGAAGUGAAAUCCAUGGGCUCAACCCAUGAACUGCUUUCAAAACUGUUUUUCUUGAGUAGUGCAGAGGUAGGCGGAAUUCCGGUGUAGCGGUGGAAUGCGUAGAUAUCGGGAGGAACACCAGUGGCGAAGGCGGCCUACUGGGCACCAACUGACGCUGAGGCUCGAAAGUGUGGGUAGCAAACAGGAUUAGAUACCCUGGUAGUCCACACUGUAAACGAUGAUUACUAGGUGUUGGAGGAUUGACCCCUUCAGUGCCGCAGUUAACACAAUAAGUAAUCCACCUGGGGAGUACGACCGCAAGGUUGAAACUCAAAGGAAUUGACGGGGGCCCGCACAAGCAGUGGAGUAUGUGGUUUAAUUCGACGCAACGCGAAGAACCUUACCAAGUCUUGACAUCCUGCGACGGUGCUGGAAACAGUACUUUCCUUCGGGACGCAGAGACAGGUGGUGCAUGGUUGUCGUCAGCUCGUGUCGUGAGAUGUUGGGUUAAGUCCCGCAACGAGCGCAACCCUUAUGGUCAGUUACUACGCAAGAGGACUCUGGCCAGACUGCCGUUGACAAAACGGAGGAAGGUGGGGAUGACGUCAAAUCAUCAUGCCCUUUAUGACUGGGCUACACACGUACUACAAUGGCGUUAAACAAAGAGAAGCGAGACCGCGAGGUGGAGCAAAACUCAGAAACAACGUCCCAGUUCGGACUGCAGGCUGCAACUCGCCUGCACGAAGUCGGAAUUGCUAGUAAUCGCAGAUCAGCAUGCUGCGGUGAAUACGUUCNCCGGGCAUUGUACACACCGCCCGUC
Molecule: ribosomal RNA, 1368 nt
Filed under: uncultured bacterium
Lineage: Bacteria
Description: bacterial SSU rRNA
Rfam family: Bacterial small subunit ribosomal RNA
Source: RNAcentral